Molecule: long non-coding RNA, 7536 nt
Organism: Pipra filicauda (Wire-tailed manakin)
Lineage: Eukaryota; Metazoa; Chordata; Aves; Passeriformes; Pipridae
Exons: 2
Source: RefSeq, a predicted model, not a curated record
ACAAGACUGCCCUUUAAAGAGGCAGUGUGUCUCAGGGCAGCAUGCCUGUGUCACAGCAGAGUAUAGAGGUUCCUGAGCUAGUUUUAAGUGAACUGCACUGGAUAUCGUAGAGGAAUCCAACUGUGGCACUUCAGCAUGGGCUAAAUUUACCCUGCUUCUCUGCACUGUGGCCUUACUCUGGUUUAGAGGUUUGACAAAUUGUCGGCAGGUCUGAACACUUCAGGAACAGCCCGGCAUUAAUCCCAGGUUCAAAUAGGAAGUAAAGACUGCCAAAAGACAUUGGGAAAAGAAAAAGAGCUGCUUCUCACCAGCAUUUAGAGGACUUCAACCUUUCAAGAGGAGGUUCUGAGCUCCUGAUGAGAGCAGACUUUCAUAAACUGUGUUCCAGUUUUACAAUUGUAUACCCAGGCCAGAUCUUUUGUUCCCAGAACUUCUGAAGUUGCUUAAAAAAAAAUCAGUUAUUGAAAGCCUCUUUUUUUCUCCCCUUUUACCAAGACUGAGUCUUCUUAAAUAAUGCUGAGCCUGUGCACUCUACUCUAUCAGGAGUGAAACUGCAGCUUAUCAUGAAAUGGAGAACCACAGCGUACACCUUUGUGGGGAAGACAGUUGGAGAGAUAGGAGAGCAAUUUCCCCUUCUGUAUAUUGCCUCCUUCUCUGUGCAGACUAUGCAUAGAUAGCAGAGGAAAACUACCAAAUCCAUAAGCCCAAACUGUUUGGAAACACAUUGUAUCAUGACAGUCAGGUUGCUCAGGUCCCAUUUAAUGCCCAGCACAAAGUAAAGCUUCAUGGCCUGCUGUUUCAAAAAAGGGUAGUUUAUUUUAAAUCUUUCAGUACAUGACUGAUUCACUGGGUCAUCUGUGUUUUGAAUGCAGCAGAUUCUGUCAUGUGGGUACGUGUGUAUAUGGUGUAUACAUGAGUGAGGAAAGCUAGGGGUGACUAACUACUUCUACUUCUCAUUUCUAUGAACUAGAGAUCUGAACGUAGAGAUAUAUAUAACCUGAAGCUAAGAAUGCAGUAAAUUACUGGAUGGUGAGAUUAGAAGUUUUUUAUAUAACCCAGUGGAGAAGUAACAAAGAGUUUUUCUACAACGAAAUGCUUAUUUCCAGUAUCCAGCAGAAUGCAGGUCUCCUAUCUGAACCGCAAAAUCAAAACUGACUAUGAAUGACCAAGGGAAUGAGACAAUUUCUUUAGACAGACAGGUAAAACACUCAAGUCUUUGAUCUUGGACUGCAGAAAAAAUACUGCUCUGAUUCAAUUGUCACUUAAAUGGGUAUAAAUCAGGAAUAGCUUAUGUAAAUCUUACAUCUGUACUGCACCUUCUGGUAAGUCUCAUGGGCUCAACAAUGAUGUGAUCUAAUUUCAAAUGUCAUUGAGUAUUUAUUCAGAAUGAGUUUUACAAGACUUCUCUGGAGCACUUCUCUGUUUGAAAGGAGAAAUAGGUUAAAAAAAGGGUCAUUUACAAGGAAAAGACAAGGCAAGAACACUCAGCGUGAGGGCCUGGUUUGAUACAUGACAAUGUUUAAUCCUUACUGUUCCUAAUCCUUCAGACCAGACUUGCAACACUGGAAGCUUUUCAGUUCUUACUCUGGGACUUACUGACUACUAAGAGGACAGAGCAGUCCCAGUCUCCUCAUUUAGUGUUGGCUUAAUAGGAACAAUGUAAAGGACAAGAUGCAGCAUAUGUUAAAAGUACAUGCCUGUGGGUUACAUAUGUCAUGCAGCUGGAAGGUUGCUGCCUUACAGAAGUAAUAAUAUGGCCAAGAAACAACCAUUAUGAUCAGGCAUAUGGGCAGCCAAGUGAGUAAUGCUGCCAGGAGGAAUGCCUACAGUGCAGCAGUUGUGAAAUACUGAUUACAAAGUCCUGAAGUAGCUGCUUGCCCCUGACAAGUCAUUUCUGCUGAAGCAGGAGUCUUUCCAGGCUGAUAGUUUCUAAAUGCUCUUUCAGGCUUAUGCAUUUUGGAUGUCUUUAGCUGAAGCUGGUUUGUUCUUCCUAUCUAUAUCUGCAAUGCCUCCUAUCAUAACCUAUCAUUUCAGCUUAUCAUCACCCUCCUGGGAAUCUUUAGUUCCUCAACAGAGUUGACUGGAAACCUCCCCUCGUGCAUCAUUUCCUGAAGAGUUCAAUCAGCUUAGCAGGAAAGACUGAAGGCCAAAACCUACAAAUAAGAUAAGCUUUGUUAUGGUAAAGAGAACACUAAAUGUAUCUGCUGCUUUUCUUCUUUUUGAUUUUUCCCCCCUCCUCAGGGUAUGUGAAAGGUGAGGAUGAAAUCUGCCUCUGUCAGACACUGGCUGCUGUUAAAAAUAGACAUGUCUCCAGUAAGAUGUUUUGGGGAUGGGGUUUGAUAAGGGUUUUUUAUAUUAUAGUUAAGGAUACAUUCAUGUCAAAUUGCUGGCAAUCUGAUCAAAGCUAUCACUUUGUUCUCCUACUUUUUCUUUUCUUCCUUUCCCAGUUACAUGAAUACAUGGUUGCUCAGAAAUUUUAUUCCUUAUUUUAAAUAAGCUCUUGGUACAAUAGUCCCAGCAACCCAAAAGUAAAGCAAGUUGUUAUGCAAGGUUAAACAAUGAACAUGGUAUGUUCUAUUUAUUUCAUUUAGCCAGUACUAGAGCUUUAUCCCAAGAAUAUUUGAUUGUUGUGAGAAAAGUCAUAUUAAUAAUAUUUACGAUAAAACUGAAACCAGAACUUAAUAACAUUAAUGUUCUACAAAAUCAUGUCUGCUUCAAAACAGCCUUAGGAUUUUGACUGCAUCUCAUUCAGCACAGCCAUAUUCAUAAUUUUCUGUGGGCUCCUGAGAGUUAUUUUGUUGCCCUUGAGGGUAUUGGUGCUAGUUCUGCCUGCAGUCUGCUCAGCCCUUCACUACCAGAAGUGUUUGUGAGAUGCAUUUUGUCAUGUAUGUGGCCUUGUGAGGUCUCCAAAAAAAAAGUGUUAAAUUUACAUGACAUUCUUAUCUGUUGACAGCUACAUUUUCCUAAUCAGAAGAAGCAAGUUCAGAGUAUGGUUGUUAUUGCUGCUCCUGUUAUUUUUAAAAAUUCCUUAGGGUAAUUGUGCCAAAUGUCACUAUUUGAAGAAGGUGAAGGAGCUGAUCAAGUUAAAUUCUGAGAUUGCUUUGUCAUCAUAAAAGGGUAAAGAGUGACUGCAAAUAUUCUUCAUGAAAAACAAAUGGAGUAUCUGAGUUUUUUUCCACUGGUUUUGCUUGAGUGGAGUAAAUCCCAAUUCACGGUGGCGGGCACGAGAGAAGGGCAAGAAUCCUAGGCAAGAAUCCAGGGAAAAUGUAUGCCAACACUUGUAAAUGAAAUAAUUGAGGGUUGGUUCCUCCCUGCACACUUACGGCUGGAAGUCAGUGACAAUUAGUGAUGAAAGUCACUUUUUCCCCUGGCAGAACUUUGCCUGUUGGGGUUUGUCAUUUUCCUGUUGGGGUUUGUCAAGUGCCUCUUCUGGAGCACAAAUGACACUACAGCAGGCAGCUGCUAAUACCUUUUACUCUGUACAAGAAAAGCUAUUCCCCUUCACCCUUGAUGUUUCAGAGUGGAGCUUUUCUAAGCUAAGUGCACAGAGUUUUAAAGAAGGGUAAAUAUGUUAGUGUGUAUAUCAUACAUACACACACAUAGAUAUAUAUACGUAUUAGGGCAUGCUUAUAGUUUAUUAAUGUUCUUGUGGCUGUAAAUACUGAUGAUAUAGGAAAAUGUAACGUGGCCUUGUAAAAAUAAUUUAUUAGUACAUAGUAAACUACAGGAUCCCAUUGCAGUUGUUACUUAUAAUUAACAAAAUUAAGUUUCCCAGACACAAAUGGCAACUAUUGUGGUUUAACCAUAUUUUGAUUUUUGGUUGUUUAAAAAUUUCUGUGACUAAUCUCUUCAUUAUAAGUUCAGGGUUAACUUGAGUAAUGCGGUGUUGAGAGCAACUGAAUCUGCUCACUUGUGCUGAUGACUCCAGACCCCCUGCACAUCUUCAGUGUGUAGCUACUGCUCUGGAGCACAGAUACUUACAAUUGUCUGGCUUUCACUGGCAGGUAUAUAGGAAAUUAGAUGUGGUAUUUGAUGGCUCAGUUUCAUUUUGGGGGGUUUACAGUGUUGAUCUCAGCAGAGCUUAGACCAUGUGAUCAUACUGAAAUGCAGUAUUGGACAGAAUUGAGAAAUAUGCUUAUUCAGAGAUCUAACUGUCAAGCGCUCUAAAAACUUCUCUGUUGGAUGUGGAUACCACUGCUGGGAGCACAAUAAAGAAGAAAUAUUUGCAUUAGGAAUUAUUCUGUCCUUACUCAGCAUCUUUUUGUAACUGCAUCAGUAGCCAGAACUUGCCAUGCUGCUGUGUGAACUCAUGAAUGGAUUGGCAUUGACAUAGUGAGUCUUUUUUCCAGUGUCAAAACAUUACAGUAUGUUUAGAGUUGCCCCUGGCUAAAGCCAUUUUAAGUGAGAGAGAGAGAGAGUAUGAAUGUGAUUUACAGUAAAGGUCUUUUCUUCUUUGUAGAUCACUGAAGGGUGGAGGGAGAGCCUCCCCCUGCCCAUCUGUGUGAACUCGGCUAUUCUACACAGUAGCAGGAGCUGGGGUUCCCUGCAAGGAGACAAAUAGGAAGAAUUAUCCACACCUGAACCUGAGAUUCACUUAUGCUACAUGUGUAUUUAUCAAAUUCAACUGGAUGGGAACCCUGUCCCCUGAAGAACAUACUUGUGAAGAGCUAGAAAUCAUUAAAUCUAGUAACUGCAUUGAUGUGAGCUGGUAACACAAAUGGACACAGAUCAGUUCUCUCCAUUCCAUCUGGAUUUCACUGUGUUGAGAAAAGUGAUAAAGAAAAUUUCUGCUGUACUGGUUAUGCUUAUGAUAGAUGAAAGCCCCUCUAAAGAUGACACUUUAAUGUUCUCUUUCUUGACCUUCUGAUGUAUGUUCAGUCUUGGUUGCUGACUAAAGUAACAACACAGAUAAUUGAGCUUUUAAAGGCCCCAUUUCAUAAAUCUAAUAACAACACUGAGGGAAGCUGAGGUGUAUUCUCUUCUUACUAGUGUAUCAUUAAUAUAUCUGGUAUCACAUUUUCCAUGUAAAAUAGCUCCUAAAAAAAGGAUCUGGGCUGACUUUCAGGCUCCAGUGGGCUGACCAUUAGGAAGGAAAUCUUCCUGCUACCUUCAUUAGGAAGAAAAGGACGCUGCAUGAGAGACACUUUUCGAAGUAUGCCUCAGCAGCAGCCCUGUGUUGAGGGAUUUGGUGGCCUACAGCUAGUAAUACUUAGUGGUGUCCUUCAGAAAGGGGACACAAGCCAGUUUUGAGUUGCUAUGCUCCUCUAAAGGGAUUUUGCUAAAAAAGGAGAAGAAUUUAUCACCUCUUAGAAGAUAUUUUGGCUGUACUAUGCAAGCAAUUUAGUAAAAUCUCUGUGAGUAUUGGCAGUCUUUGAAACAAAAGAAGUAGGGCUGCUUUGUGUGCACUGAAGAAUUUUUGCUUUUGACUCCACUGGAGCCAUAAUUUGUCACCAGAUUCAUAUCCUGAAACCUAAAGUGCCCUUAAAAGGGCUACUGCAAAUUUAUAAAUCAUAAUCACAGUCCUUGGUUGACAUGACAACUGGUACCAUCCUGUUUAGGAUCUUGCCCUGCAAACCUGUAACCCUCUGUCUGUAGCCCACUCAGUACUCACCCAUGAGAUUGCUUUGUCCCCACCUAUUUUUACAACUUUUGUUGAUGACAAAGAACACCUUUUUUAAAAAAGUGCUUGAAGGCAAAUUAUACUCCUGAAUACUUAGUGUUUUACUGCUUGGGCUUCAAACACUCUGUAACAAGCUGAUUUGUUUAAUGUCUACAGUCCUUACUGGAAAGUUUUUAAAUUGUGUAAACAUUCCUACCAGUUUUAUGUGUUUCUAAACAUUUUUUUUAAUGUGGGUACAAAUUUAACUUGACAGUGUACUUUCCAAGCUUCCAUUAAAUAGGGCUAACUUUUUAUUGAUAGAGGAAUAUCUCUGAAAUAGCUUUAUGAUGUCUUGCAAUGGAAGACUUUUCAUUAACUCCGACUAGAAAAAUAACCUACCAUGUAUUUGUAAGUCUUUUAUCAGUUCUUACUGUAUCGUAAUGUCUGUGGGACCCCUGCUGGUGGAAAGGGGAAGAGACUGAAAAACUUUAAAGUUAAUGGAGAAGGGAAUAUAUUCUCACUGUACAUUGUGUUUGCCAGCUACUGUUAUCAUACAGCCACCAAAGAUCUCAGUGUUUUGAAACUUCUUACUUACAGGUUGCAGUUUGUUGCUUUCCUCACAUAACUGUGUUUUACCUCCCUUCAAGUGUGCCAGUGCUGCUUUAAAACAUCACUAUAGAAAUCUUCAGCUACACCAUCUGGUUCCAGUUUUCCUUAAUUUGGUGUCAGCCAAGCUCCUACAGUCCGGAUGAUUAAAAGGGACAGAGUUAAACCUGCUGCACUUUAGGGAUUUAAGCCUUCCUUUUCCUCCUAUAAAUUCUGACCUUUCCAAAAUGAGUUUUCUUUCUUUUCUUUUCCCCUAAGAAAGUGGAACAUAAAGCAAAUGUUUGAUAUUUUUACUGGUGGAGCCAAAUUCCUAUGUUCUGGCUGCUUUUCACUGACAGAAAAAUUAUUCCACAAUAAUUUGUCAUUAUUUCCAAAGUGAUACUGUAUGUUACUGUAACAAUAACAACUAACUUGGCCUUUUGAGAGGUAUAUAUUUUCUCAAGAAAUUUCAGUCUAGUAGGGAAAACACUGAUCAUGAUGACCUUGGGGGAAUACAGCCUAAAGAAAGAAGUGGACGUUUGUGACUGUUUUGAAAUCUCCUGGCUGGAACAGUUUCCUGUUGAGGCACUUUGUGCUUGUGUGACAACCCAUGGAGGGGUUCUUCUGUGUGCUCUGUCUGCAGCCUUGGUCCUGAAAAGGUAAAGAGGGAGCAGGGACAGCCUCAGUCCCCUCUGCUGAAGGGCUCCUUGGGGAAGGAAAACACUGUGCUGUGCAUAAAAAAUCGGUGUAACUGUUAUCUGAUUGUCUGCCUGAUUACAGGACUAAACAGAGUUAGGUUGGGUACCAGUAUAUGCCAAGUAUACUUGUCCUCUGUUCCUCGUAGUAUGACUGAGCCUUGGGAUCAGUUAUUUAGUGGGAUCCUUGGAAAGGCUUGAUGAGCUGCUGAAUUCUUCCUUGUCUGGAUUCCUUUGUUUAGGUUGCCUCGAAUUAUCACUGCAUGUUAUUAUUUUUAUACACGUACAACUUUUAAAUCCACAUAGAUGACACUUUUUGUGCCAAAAAUGCACUACGCACUUCUCAGACCUUGCAGCUGGUUGAGCACCAGUGAAGGAAAUGAAUUUGGUAACUGAGCUGGGAGAGAAAGGUGCUUGGAGAUGCAGUUUCUAAUGCUUUCUUGUAGAUAUUCCCAUCAGACCACGUAAAGAACUUUUCCCGUUUAUAUUACGAAAGAAAUAGGAGAAUAUAAAAUUUUUAAAAUCUUUUAAAAUUAAAACCUUUGGGAGCUUAAUUAAAUGUACUGUGAGAAAUAUGUGCAGUUCACUUACAGCUGUUGACUUGAGGUUUAUGCAUUAUUGCCAAGUCCUGGAAUGAAUAAAGCUUUAAUGUUGGAA